RNAcentral lists this transfer RNA (72 nucleotides) under Rodentolepis nana. RNAcentral describes it as "Hymenolepis nana tRNA". It matches the Rfam family "tRNA". From Rfam's summary of the family: Transfer RNA (tRNA) molecules are approximately 80 nucleotides in length. The record is from Rfam by way of RNAcentral. Lineage: Eukaryota; Metazoa; Platyhelminthes; Cestoda; Cyclophyllidea; Hymenolepididae.
GGCUCUGUGGACUAGGGGUAUAAUUCUCGCUUUGAGUGCGAGAGGUCCUGGGUUCAAAUCUCGGCUGAGCCC